This 426-nucleotide ribosomal RNA is filed under the name uncultured bacterium. RNAcentral describes it as "bacterial SSU rRNA". It matches the Rfam family "Bacterial small subunit ribosomal RNA", at positions 354 to 796 of the family's 1533-position model. The record is from RNAcentral.
GUGGGGAAUAUUGCACAAUGGGGGAAACCCUGAUGCAGCGACGCCGCGUGAAGGAAGAAGUAUUUCGGUAUGUAAACUUCUAUCAGCAGGGAAGAAAGUGACAGUACCUGACUAAGAAGCCCCGGCUAACUACGUGCCAGCAGCCGCGGUAAUACGUAGGGGGCAAGCGUUAUCCGGAUUUACUGGGUGUAAAGGGAGCGUAGGUGGCGAUGCAAGCCAGAAGUGAAAACCCGGGGCUCAACCCCGAGGACUGCUUUUGGAACUGUGUUGCUGGAGUGCAGGAGAGGUAAGUGGAAUUCCUAGUGUAGCGGUGAAAUGCGUAGAUAUUAGGAGGAACACCGGUGGCGAAGGCGGCUUACUGGACUGUAACUGACACUGAGGCUCGAAAGCGUGGGGAGCAAACAGGAUUAGAAACCCCAGUAGUCC